GGUCUCAUGGUGUAAUGGUUAGCACUCUGGACUUUGAAUCCAGCGUUCCGAGUUCAAAUCUCGGUGAGACCU
Non-coding RNA from Octopus bimaculoides (California two-spot octopus), 72 nucleotides. NCBI's taxonomy places the organism in Eukaryota, Metazoa, Mollusca, Cephalopoda, Octopoda, Octopodidae. The record is from Rfam.